Molecule: transfer RNA, 5109 nt
Filed under: Dimorphilus gyrociliatus
Lineage: Eukaryota; Metazoa; Annelida; Polychaeta; Dinophilidae
Description: dgyrCDS2625
Rfam family: tRNA (bases 4734-4835)
Source: RNAcentral
AAUUGUGGUUUUAGCUUACACGCUGGUUGUAAGAGUUCUAUUUACAAAAAGGCAAGAAAAGCUUUAUAGGAGAACAAUGUAUAGUCGUCUACUGCAUUAUUCAAAACGGAUAAAGAUAGAUGGAGUAGGUGGAAAAAGAAAUUAGGUAUAUUAAGAUGAGAAAAAAAACGUCUAAUUAAAUCUAAAAAUAGCUUAAAUAAGGAAGUCGAGCUAUAAUAUAUGGAAUUUGAUGAAAUUUCAUAAACCAAAUUCUAUCAUUUAUGUCAGUAUUUAAUUACUAAAGAUUGUUUUUAUUUAAUUCAACAAGUAUUCUAUUUAAAGAACCUAAUCAAUCUUAUGCUCCCUCUCCCUCUCUCUCUCUCUCUCUCUCUCUCUCUCUCUCUCUCACUUUUAUUUCUUACUCUUUCUAUCCCAUUCUUUCUUUUUUUCCCUCUCACAUGCUCCUCUCUUCCUUUCACAUUCAUUAAAGACACUCUAGUAUAUUAUUUAUAAUAAAUUUUCCUCUUGACUAAGUGGCACUUAUAUGAUAAACUUUAUCUUAUUAAAGCUUCCUAUUCUGUUUUGACGAUUUUGCUUCUUCUUUCAACUAUCAAAUAUUUAAUUUACCGUGUACAUCUUAAUAGCUAUAUAUACAGUAUAUACUAUUAUAUUUAUAUCUUGUCCUUUUGUUAAUAAUCACAAUUGAUAUAGUAUUCUAAAGACUCUAGGGAUUUUAUUUUCUAAUAUUGAAAUGUAUUAUUUCCCGAAAGAACCUAGGGACUUUUGCAUUUUUAUAUUACAAAUCUCUCAAAAGAACAUUAGGUAACAAUAUUUCUAUAGUGGGAAAAACUGAAGGAUAUUAAUUGAUUUCCAAGAUUGGAUGCUAAAUUUCACUUAAUAUAAUUGUUGCCCUAAGAAGAAAUUAGAAUAUAACUUUCAUUUUGUUGGUAUGUUGAAAUAAAACUUUUAAAAGUAGCUUGUAUAUUGUUUUUCACCGAAUCAUAAUGGACUUGUAAUUUUUUUAUACGGUCAAUUAACUAAUACUAUAAUAGUAAUAAUCAAUUAAUACCUCAGGAAAUAGGUUGAUAUUAAAUAAUUGGAAGGAGCAAGGUGAACCACUCUAAGGGUCUGGUUGUAGCUUCUAAAUUCUAAGAUAAACUGGUUACUCUAAAACUGCUACCCUUUAUUUACAACUGAAAAAUGUCAAAAACUACUUCUAUUCUUGUUAAAACCUUUGGUUAUACAUUUAUACUUUCGUAUUUUAGCUACAUAACAUUUACGGUUAAACUUUAUUAUAGUGAACUAUCUGUGGUCAGUUAUAAAAAUAGGACUGUUAACAUUACAAUAUAUGUGAACAAAGAUAAACUGCAAGAUUUCUUUCAUAGUGCAAACUUUACAUAUAUUGUAUUAUAUCCCUUAUUACUGCUGAGUUUUAUGAAAAAGUUUAAUUGUUUCAAGUUUAUUUUUGUAUUUGUGCCUGUAAUUUUACUACUGCAAAUUCUUUUCGGUUCUCUAUUAUUCGAAAGAGUAAACAAAGAAUUGAAAGAAUAUCAGCAAGUUUAUAAAUGCAAAAGAACCUGGCCAGUUGAUUACUAUAUAUUUAUUCUUUGGGCAUUCUGCCAUUCAUUCUUAUUGAUUUGUAUAUGCUUCUGGCGAUUUAUUCUGGAAAAGUAUCAAUCUGGUGGUUAUAUUGUUUUUACAUGGAAAGGAUUAAUUAAGUUUCAAUUGAGAAGUAGACAAUUAGAUAGUUUUCGAAUAGAAAAUGAACUUAGGGCCAGAAAAGGAUAUUUUAUCGAUUUAAUUGAAUAUGCUUGGUCGACAUUUUUGAUGGUUAAUUAUCUCGAUAGAGAUAAUGUAUUAUUAAAUCUAACGGAAUUCAAUGAAAUUGUAUUUAAUACAACAGAGAAUGACUCGAAUACGUAUAAUCACGCUCUCUCCAAUCACAGAAAGUAUUGUAACAUUCACAAAACAACCUCCAAGUCAACAACAGCGAAAAGGAAGCCUUGUUCUUGGAGAAUGCUAAGAAUUAGAUUGGAUCCAUGGAAAUUUUCUUCAAUAGAUUUUGAAAAUACAAUUCACAUAGAUGAUUUAGCUCUUCUUCAUAAGAUGAACAUUCAUUUUCUUACCCCAUUCUCAUAUAUGGAGACAAACCAGAAUGAUUGUCUCAUAAAUUGUUUGCAAAAAUUCCAUAGAUUUGAAAAUAUAUUUAUCAAAAUAUAUGUAUACGUUAUAGAAAGUCUCAUUAUAAGAGAGGAUGGAUUUACUCUUAUUAACCUGUUGUUGGAAAAGUUACAAAGUUCAUAUCUAAGGGUCAUGGUUCAAAAUCAACUAACAAAAAUAACAUUCUCUAGCUGGCCUCCUCCACUAUGGUUCCAUUCCCUUAUGAAAUUGAGAUAUAUGAUAAAAAAUAACUUGAAAGUUAUCAAUCUAAGAUACUGCACAGAAGAUAUUUUAUUGUUUAUUUCUCGUCCUAGUGAAACUGUUAUAUUUGAUAUAUUUUGUUUGUUAAAUCUUACAUUUAAAGAUUUAUGGAUUCUAGAAAACUAUGGAUUAUUUCAAGUUUUAAAUAUUCAAGAUUAGUAGAAUAUAAUAAAAUUUUGAUCCUGCUACUAAAAAAUUCACAAAUACUGUUUUAAUACUAGAAGCAAUAGAUUUCUAUAAAAAAUAAUAACAUGCUCACGUGACAUAUACAAAUAUUAGAACCACUCUAAUUCAACCAUUUAAAGCGAAUCUAUAAUAUUUGAGCUGAAAACAUAAAAUGCUGCGAACAAUCUCCAGUCGGAUAGUGCAAAUAAAAUAUGCAGUUAUCUGCUCUCUUCUUAUCUAUUUUACAUUCUCAAUUGCAAUAGUUUUUACGGAAUGGAUAAACCUGACGAUAUAUACACAGAAUGGUAGUAUGAGCAGAAAUAUUUCUAUUCCAGAAGAAAGAGCAUUCGACGAUUUAGCCUUUCAUUUUGGAAAUUUGACCUUAAUUACAAUACUUUAUCCGAGUUUAUUAUUCUUUUUUAAAAGAAAUAUUGUUUAUAUCGCAUUAUCAAUUUUAACUAUGUUAAUAACAUUUUUCGUUUGGGUAUUUGCUGUCGAAAUUUAUAUUGAUUGCAUUAAUAGAUUAAGAUAUUAUAAUAAAUCUUACAGAAUCGUAUGGUUCUGGGGUUUUGGAUUCUACGUUGCUAUAUUUCUCUUUUUGUUUGAUGUCGUAUUUAUGGUAUUUCUUCCUACAUAUAGAUUUUUAUUAAGUACCAACAAUAUGCAUCAGUUUGCCUUUACGACUUGUUUUGAAAGAAGACCUAAUGAUGAAGAGUCGCUAAUUGAUACUGUUGACCAAGAUAAUUGUGAACAACCUCUAUUAUAUCUAAAAGUUUUUGGUUUCGAAGCUGAUUUUUCUAGUGUAAACAACAACUUCGAAAGAAGACCAAUACUAUAUCAAAUAUAUAAGUCAAAAAGAAAGAAAAUUGAUCAUUUUGCUUCAAUUAAGAUAAAUCUUAACAAGAGAAAUCUAAAUCUCUUAUUAAAAGAAAAUAAUCAACAGGCGAAACAUUUAAAACUAUCUUCGUUUAAAGGAUUACAUUCAAACAGUGCAAAAAUUAAGGUUAAUUUGUCAAAAAAGCUAUUGCAGAAUCUUACAUCUACAAAAGUGGAAAAUGAUAACGAUUGGAUAUUACGUCAGUUGGCAAUGUUAAAUAAAUUGGGUAUACAUUUAUUAGUUCCUUUAAAAUUAAAGGGCUAUAAAAACAAUAAAUCAAUAAUUGAUUGUCUCAAAGAAAGGGAUAAUUUUGAUGAUAUAUUUUCUAAAUAUUGUCGAUUUUUUGUGGAAAGUUUGAUUAUUCAUGAGAAUGGAUUACUCUUAGCUAAUGAACUUGCACAAGAAUUACAAGCUGAACAUAAGCACGAAAUAUUGCAACUAGUUACGAAAAAAAUAUUUAGCGAUUGGCCUCCUCCCCUAAGCUAUUUGUGUUGGACAAAGACAAGAGAAUAUAUUAAAGCAUUUAAUGGAGAAAUUCAAAUUUUAGAUUUAAACAACACUGUAUUAGAAACCCUUCUAAAAAACUAUCACGAAAAGUCACUAUUGCAAUCAUCACCCCUUCGGCUUUCUUAUUCCAGGAUAUGGGAAAUGUCAGCGUUGCAUUACGGGAUUUUUGAAAAUAUUGAAUAACAUAUUAAACUGAGACUGUUUCUUUUUGUAUUUUUAAAGAUGCUAUUGAUAAAACUUGAAUAGAUUUAUAAUUUAUUUCUUUUUUGUAGAAGAGGGAGUAUUAUAAAACUUAUUUCUUCCUUAAUAAAGUAAAAACCAUAUGAAUGUGAAGCGAUAGAAGUAACGAAAGUACAACUUACAUUAUAUAUUCUAAAACCGAUAUAAAUAGAGUCAAAUAAAGUUAGAUAAAAUUUAAAUUUGAGUCGUUAUUUUGUAUUUUUACUUUCGUAUUUGCUUUUUCGCUCCUUUCAUAUGACUAAAAGCUGUUAAGUUAUUGUACUUUUUUAUGUUUAAAUUAAUAAUGUUUAACUUUAUCGUAAUCUCAUUAUUAUAGUAUCAAAAUAAGACGAUAACAAUUGCUUUUCACGUGUUAGACUAGAUAAUUGGUAUAACAAAUAAUUCGUUUGUUGAAUAGCUCUAACGCUUAGUAGCUAGCUGGUAAGCUUUGAGGAGUGUAAUCAACAAACUAAAAAUAAUCUAUUCUAAGAAUUGUUGCUCAAUGAAUGACAUGCUUGAGCAAACGGUAGACAACAAGUUUCGUAACGCUUUGUUAACUUGCAGAGGGACAGUGGUCUAGGGGUAUGAUUCUCGCUUUGGGAUUGAAUUAAACAGUUAAAAACUGCAAAAUUGCGAGAGGUCCCGGGUUCGAAUCCCGGCUGUCCCCAUUAAAUUUUUUGAAUUUCAAGUACAGCAAUUUAAUAUUCUUGGCUUACUCGAAAGCAAUAUAAGGUUAUAUUGACAUUUUUUGUUAUGUUAUGUAAUGUCAAUCUCUGAAUCUUUCUCUAACAAUUCUUUUAUUGAAUAUCCUGUUUGCUUUGCAGAUAAGAGAUAUUUGUUUUUUUUAUAAGAGUAUGCAUUUUGCUAAAAACUAUCAACAAGGAAUUGCUCUUUGUAAAGAAAAAUGAUUUUGAACUUUAAAAGAAAUAAUAACAUUCGUC